CGAGGACGAGGACGAGGACGAGGAGGACGACGACAACUUUGAUUUUUAACAUGUCAUUAGAGGUGAGACAUUAUCACUGCAGAUUCUCGCUCUCUGACUUUUAUAUUAUGGAUAUUUUUCGACGGGCACGCCAUAGACGACACCAUUCAAGCAUUGGCCAGAUUGAUUCACCAUCUGAUAGGAUGGUACCUACGCCCUCCCCUCAGGCAGGACCUUCUCGUGGGCAGUCACCAGCAGAACCUUC
Zingiber officinale is the source of this 244-nucleotide long non-coding RNA. RefSeq lists it as uncharacterized. The record is from RefSeq and is a predicted model, not a curated record. The transcript is spliced from 3 exons. Lineage: Eukaryota; Viridiplantae; Streptophyta; Magnoliopsida; Zingiberales; Zingiberaceae.